RNA transcript from Prunus dulcis (almond), 668 nucleotides. It is a transcript of the gene named dolichyl-diphosphooligosaccharide--protein glycosyltransferase subunit DAD1, with no coding region annotated. The transcript is spliced from 6 exons. The record is from RefSeq and is a predicted model, not a curated record. Lineage: Eukaryota; Viridiplantae; Streptophyta; Magnoliopsida; Rosales; Rosaceae.
UACAAUUAUCCAAAAUGACGAUAAUGUCCCUAACCAUUUAGUUCUGGUUGACCAGAGUGGUCAAGUAUUCGAUCCAUCUAAAACUCAGAAACCAGCCGACGACGACGAAGUAGUGAAGUAUAGAGGAAGAGAAACAAUGGGGAAAGCAUCGACAUCGUCAACGACCAAGGACGCGCUUGCCCUCCUCAGUUCUCUUCGCUCAGCUUACUCUGCCACUCCCAUCACCCUCAAGAUCAUUGAUCUCUAUGUUGCUUUCGCUGUGUCCACAGCUCUCAUCCAGGUAGUUUACAUGGCUAUCGUCGGAUCAUUCCCAUUUAACUCAUUUCUCUCAGGAGUACUUUCUUGUACAGGGACAGCAGUCCUUGCUGUUUGUCUCCGUAUUCAAGUGAACAAAGAAAACAAAGAAUUUAAGGAUUUACCACCAGAACGGGCUUUUGCAGAUUUUGUUCUCUGCAACUUGGUGCUGCACUUGGUGAUUAUGAAUUUCCUUGGAUAAGUUAGCAUCUUUUGGUCUUCAUUGAUACUGUUUCCUGGAACAAUGAUGAUAAGAUAUGAUGCGGCACAGAAAAUUGGCACAUCAGAGUUGGGGAAAGGGUGUCAGCCCGAUCGGCUAUCAUCAGUAGUCAUUACCUACUGUUGUCAUCGUGGAUGUGGGAACAUGUUGGGAA